Molecule: long non-coding RNA, 1475 nt
Organism: Podarcis muralis (Common wall lizard)
Lineage: Eukaryota; Metazoa; Chordata; Lepidosauria; Squamata; Lacertidae
Source: Ensembl
CUUUAUUUGUAUAUAUUUUAAAUGUUUUAGGAUGCCCUAUAUUUGUAAUGCCUAGAAAGUUUGAUGAAGUAAGUAAGUAAGCAUUACAGGGGGUUGGACUAGAUGAGCACUGGGGUCCCUUCCAAUUCUGGAAUUCUAUGAUUCCACGAAAAGAGAAUAUGCAUGGGAAAGAGGGUCGGAGAGAAGGAAAAUCGCAGGGGUGUAGAGAAGAACAGAUGGCAGACAAAAGCAAGACUAGAAGGACUGAGAUAAAAGCAGAGGUUUAAACCUAUGGCAUUUAUUCAUUUGCUGAUUUUUAAAUCAUUUCUAAGCUGCUUAAAUCUUAAACAGUGCACUAAGCAAUAUAAAAAUCAUAAAAACAGUAAUAUAAAGUCAUUAAAAAACCAGGAAUUUCAUCUCUCUGAUUGUCUAUCUUUUUUGUUCUCUUAGGUGCAAUAUUGGUGUGCACUCUCUCUGGCUCUGUCCCCGAAGGCAUGAUGAUUAUGUGGCAGGCAGGUGGCCAAUCAGGUAACACCCCUGGCAUCAUAAGUGCACGCACUGGUAGCACAUCAUGCGUCAGCAUUGCAGUACAAGAAGUUGGGCAGGCGCUGUUCAGCUGUCGACUAUCCCUCCCUGAGUCCCAAACAAAAGUCAAUGAACCUGAAGACAAAGGGAACGGUCUCCAUGAGAACCUCUAUCGCGCCAACCAUAAAGAAAGCAGCCUUCAGCAAGCACAGACAAUCCUCACCGGCAUGGUCAUUGGGCUCAAUGCAAGUGAAAUUUCUGUCCAGUGGGUGAAGAAUGCCCUCCUUGAAGGUCACCAUGUGAAUCCCCGAGUCUUGAAGGGCAGCAUCAAGGAUUCCCUCUUGGCCCUCAGCCAGGUGGUAAUCCCCUACUCUGACUGGCACAACGGUACUUCAUACUCCUGUACGUUUACCCGCACAGCAGGCACCGUGGAGCCCACCCAGAGGCCUGAGGAGAAAUCCCAGGGUGAAAAGUGAUGCAAACCCCAUCCUCAGCAUCACAACCUCUUCAGCCUAUCCCAGAUUCAAUAAUUUCCAUGUAUCCAUGUUUGGCCUAAGGCUAAAUAAAAAUGAGCAUACUCACAGAUAUUUCAUGAUUUGAUCACUUGAUUGAGGUGGUGGGUGGGUUCUGGAAAGAAGUGGGGAAUGGAUUAAUCUCCCUGCAAAAUCGUGUUGAAGUUUGAUUAUUGUAGAAGCAAAGUGUGUUUAGCACAUAACCAUGAAGUUCACUGGGGGGGCUUUUGGCUAGUCACUCUCUCUUAGCCUAUCCUUCCUCACCAGGGUUUAGACUCUAACCGAGCACAGAUUUUUGUGUCUCCCCCCCCCCCAGCAAAGCAUGUCCUAUAAAAGGAAAGGUGAGUGGAGUGACAACAAUUCAUUUUGCUGACCAGUGUCUUCUGCCUGUUGAUCAUGUCUACCCAGCAUCAGUUGACCUAGAUGAACAGGUGGUGCAGUUGGUGGCAGAUUUUCAUA